UUAAUCAAAACUUAAAAUUUUAUUUGUCAGGUAAAAUUGUAUUCUGCCAAUUACAUAAUAAAUCAUCAGGAAGCCAAUUCAGAGAUGAGACUGUAACAAUACAACAUCCAUUUAUCAAAGAUAAAUCAAAGAGUUAAGAGAUGCAUACCUGACCACAGAAAUACAUUGCAGCAUAAGUCUCAGAGAUGCUGCAAUGGGGUAGCAUCUUAUCAAGAUCUUAUAGAAGUCAAAAACCAAAUCAACAUAUACCAGUAAAAUAUUACUGUAAACUUAAGACCACUUUACCAAUCACACAGAGACAUUUAAAAUGAUACCAAACAUGAAUAUAGUGAUGCAAGAUACACCAUAUUAAAACCUUGAACAUUUUAUGUGAAAUGUGCUCUAAUCAGAAGGUAACAUAAGGGUCAAGAAGGGGGGUUUAAGUGGAAGGAGAAGGGGGACUUCUUCGCAUUACCCCCUGCUGUUGAGUAGCUCUGUUUCUCCAGCCUGUGAUUGCAUUGUCAACAGUGAUUUGAAUAGAACAGUGGAACAGUUGGUUUCUUCAUCACUUCUCAGAUUAGAAAAUCUAUUGGAACAUUGCAUCUUGUCUCAUGAAAUUCCAUAACAGUUCUUAUGGUCUGAUAUUUUGGAUCCUUACAGUCCUCCCCUGGUCCCUUGGAGCAAUUCUGAGCAGUCUCUAAGGGAACACAAGAUCAUUUAGAUGGCUUUGGCGAGCGUUGGUAGUUGUAGUAUAGCAUUGUAGUAGCGAUGUCAUCACCUGAAAUCACAACAUUAAAAGCAGCUUCAACAUUAAAAUGGAGUUAUGUUGCUGAACCCCACAGUCUCUUUAGUUGUAGACAUACGGUGUUGAGCUUGGGCUCAAGUG
Non-coding RNA from Danio rerio (zebrafish), 865 nucleotides. NCBI's taxonomy places the organism in Eukaryota, Metazoa, Chordata, Actinopteri, Cypriniformes, Danionidae. The record is from Ensembl.